AUGUAGCACUCGUCCACUGCGGUUCCUGCGCGCCGUCCGCACCCACCUGACGACUGCUCGCCACGUGUUGUAAGCC
RNAcentral lists this small RNA (76 nucleotides) under Xanthomonas phaseoli pv. syngonii. RNAcentral describes it as "Xanthomonas axonopodis pv. syngonii sX9 sRNA". It matches the Rfam family "Xanthomonas sRNA sX9". Lineage: Bacteria; Pseudomonadati; Pseudomonadota; Gammaproteobacteria; Lysobacterales; Lysobacteraceae. The record is from RNAcentral.